RNAcentral lists this Y RNA (110 nucleotides) under Prolemur simus (greater bamboo lemur). Its description in RNAcentral is "Y RNA (ENSPSMG00000003692.1)". It matches the Rfam family "Y RNA". From Rfam's summary of the family: Y RNAs are components of the Ro ribonucleoprotein particle (Ro RNP), in association with Ro60 and La proteins. The Y RNAs and Ro60 and La proteins are well conserved, but the function of the Ro RNP is not known. Lineage: Eukaryota; Metazoa; Chordata; Mammalia; Primates; Lemuridae. The record is from Rfam by way of RNAcentral.
CGCUGGUCUGAAGGUAGUGAGUUAUCUCACCUGAUUGUUCCCAGUUACAGAUGGAACUCCUUGUUCUACUGCUUUCCUCCCUUCUCACUACUGCACUUGACUAGUCUAAA